Molecule: long non-coding RNA, 1580 nt
Organism: Onychostoma macrolepis
Lineage: Eukaryota; Metazoa; Chordata; Actinopteri; Cypriniformes; Cyprinidae
Exons: 5
Source: RefSeq, a predicted model, not a curated record
GUCCUGACAACGAGUCUCGCGAGCAGCUGAUUACUUGUAACAGACAGUAAAUCAGCGUCCGCGGUGUCUACUGUAGGAUGGAUAUAAAAGUAUAAAACACGUUUUGGUUUGACAACAUCGUUCAUAUGUGAACUAUCACAAUUAAAGCACAAAGACACCCCGAGACCUUUCACAAGUGCUACAAAAGAGAAACGCUUUCCGGAAGAGAAGUUCAUCAGGCGAGUUGGAGACUAGUCGAGUCAUCCAGUUUAGCGGAGAGCAUCAACCCCUAAUUGACAUGAGGAAAAAAUAAUUAAAAAGUGUUCAGUGUGUACCCCUCUUUGCAUCAGAGGAAGCAUUAGGAAAGAGGAGAAGAGAGAAAGUGAAAAGGCACUCAACAGAUGUUGGAAAAUGCACUGGUAACGACUAAAAAAAGACGACCAAAAAUAUAAUUCAACAGAGGAUGAUGGCUGUGGUGAAACAAGCACUCAAAUAAUGAAACUAAGACCAGUGGGAGUGCUGGAGAAAUCAAGUAUAUACGUCCUCUGUCUCCUCAGCCAUGGAAGAGAUCUUCAGACAUGAAGAGAUUGAGGAGUUAAAUGAAAUCAAAGAGCUAAAAGAAGAUUUACAAUAUUAGUGCCAAUUCAGCAUGAAAACAGAGAGAGAGCUGAGGGAAUGGAAAGAAAUGCAUGUUAUUGUGCAAGGGGUAGUUGCAUGGACUAGGAACAGAAAGCUCUGAGAUUUCAUUAUAAAGAUCUUCAUUCUUGUUCUGAAGAUGAACAAAAGACUUGCGGGUUUGGAACGUCAUGAGGGUGAGUUAUUGAUGACAGAAUUUUCAUUUUUGGGUGAACCAACCUUUUAACUUUUAACUUUUUUAUAUUGUGUAUUGACUUGGUGCCAUGAUGGAUAUUGAAAUGUUAUUUAUUUUUCAUUUUAAACAGUAUAGAUGAUUACUUAAUGGUAAUGCAAUAUUUGUGAAUACAACUGUGCACGUCAGACAAUAAAUCCCCAAAAACUAUGCUUGCUUUGGUGUUGCCACCCCUCAUAGACCCCAUGCCACCUCUUUGCCACCCUAAAAAUUAUUUUCUAGGUCCGCCCCUGCAUGAAAGUAAUCAAUAUACUGAUUAAUAUGUUGAGUUAUUCCAAUACUGGAUGUCCUAAUGUAGAAUGUAAGUGUGAGGGCCUAUCCAUUGGGCAGUACUGGUGGUUUCCAUUGGAUUGUAUCAGUGAACUUAAAUAACCUCAUGAACUUUGAGUGAUUUCCAGAGUAUGACAGGUAAACAAGUUGACCACAUUAUUGGCAGCGGAAUAAAAGUGGCCAGGUGGGAUGAUAAGAAAUUGUGGCAAACCAGAUAGGCAUAGCCAAUUAAAAACCAAAACUACCAAUUAUGGUAAGAAAGAAAGAUAUAAAAUGGAUGCGCGGACAGACAGAGAAUUAGAUGUGGCGGCUGUCAUCUCGGCUUUGUUGCUGUGGUCAAUAAAGUCUUAUUUUGACAUCUGGAACUCUGCUUCUUGAGCUUUAUUGACAAAUUUGAGAAGACCAUUGUUUGUUUCCACAACAGUAUAAUUGUAAAUGAUAUAUACACACGUGGUCAGAAUUG